RNAcentral lists this non-coding RNA (29 nucleotides) under Mus musculus (house mouse). Lineage: Eukaryota; Metazoa; Chordata; Mammalia; Rodentia; Muridae. The record is from RNAcentral.
UCCUUGAUGGAUCUUUAUUCCAGGUGGUC